Long non-coding RNA from Helianthus annuus (common sunflower), 1024 nucleotides. RefSeq lists it as uncharacterized. The transcript is spliced from 2 exons. The record is from RefSeq and is a predicted model, not a curated record. Lineage: Eukaryota; Viridiplantae; Streptophyta; Magnoliopsida; Asterales; Asteraceae.
UUAGUUGAUGUGGAUCUUCAUUGCAUGAAAGAUUUGAUGAAAAUAGAGGUUGAGAACUUGGUAAUUCGUUAUUAGGAAGCCAAAAACAUUUGCGUUUGGGAUUGAAGAUACAUUUAAAUAGUAUGAAAACCCGAAUUUUCGCAUGUAUAUCUGUUGUCUGGCGCAAGGUUGCACCCUCAACUAGUAAUCAACGGUAUUACGCCUGAACUGGCCAAAGGUUGCGCCAGAACUAGCACAAGGUUGUGCCAAACUAGCAACACCUUCCGAUGGUCAGUGGUUUCUUUCCCCUUUUCACGUUUUUCAACUUCCGUCUUGCAUGUAAAUAUGGUAGGGUCCUAGAGGAGGUUUAUGCAUCUUUUAUCGAGUCUCUUCCAUUUAGAAGCAUGGUUAUAUUCACAGUAUUUCAAGUUGUCUAUUUCUUGGUGUGUUACGGUAUGACGUUGAUUCUGGUGGCUGGAAUUCUAUUUACUAUGUCAUUUUUUUCUUCUCAUAAGCAUAAGACAACAUAUUCUACCAAAAUUGUUCCAAUUGCACCAUUUGAGAGAACUUAAUGCAGCCGGGUAUUAAGAAAUCGCGGGCAAUCCAACACGUGCUCCCAACUUCAGCCUUAGAGAAAUGGAUAGCACUCUUGGUGGGAGCAAUGAAGGUGACGUGUCAAUUUGUGAUGCCGAAAUAUUAAAUGAACUGGCCACAAGUAGAGGGGAGCUCAAGGUUCGAAAUCUUUCAACUUAUUUAAUGACUCUAGAUUUUAAGGUGACGGCGUGCUCAUUUAUGUUCUUGCAGCAAAUUUACCACGAUGACUAUAUCUAGCCUGAGUGAAAGACAAAGACACUACUCAAGAGUUGGUCCAAAGGCCCAGUGAAACACUACGAAAAAAAAAAACCCUGAAGUUUUCUUGUUUUGGGGUCGAAAUGACCAGAUUAAUGCGAAACACGCUCAUGUAUAAUUGGGCAAAAUGUUAGGGAUGUCGAUUGUUGGAUGUGAAAUAUAUUGAAUCGUUAUCUGCAGAAUAACUUAGAAAUCA